GACGAACGCUGGCGGCGUGCUUAACACAUGCAAGUCGAACGAAGAGCGAUGGAAGCUUGCUUCUAUCAAUCUUAGUGGCGAACGGGUGAGUAACGCGUAAUCAACCUGCCCUUCAGAGGGGGACAACAGUUGGAAACGACUGCUAAUACCGCAUACGAUCUAACCUCGGCAUCGAGGAUAGAUGAAAGGUGGCCUCUAUUUAUAAGCUAUCACUGAAGGAGGGGAUUGCGUCUGAUUAGCUAGUUGGAGGGGUAACGGCCCACCAAGGCGAUGAUCAGUAGCCGGUCUGAGAGGAUGAACGGCCACAUUGGGACUGAGACACGGCCCAGACUCCUACGGGAGGCAGCAGUGGGGAAUCUUCCGCAAUGGACGAAAGUCUGACGGAGCAACGCCGCGUGAGUGAUGACGGCCUUCGGGUUGUAAAGCUCUGUUAAUCGGGACGAAAGGCCUUCUUGCGAAUAGUUAGAAGGAUUGACGGUA
RNAcentral lists this ribosomal RNA (480 nucleotides) under Veillonella dispar. RNAcentral describes it as "bacterial SSU rRNA". It matches the Rfam family "Bacterial small subunit ribosomal RNA", at positions 28 to 477 of the family's 1533-position model. Lineage: Bacteria; Bacillati; Bacillota; Negativicutes; Veillonellales; Veillonellaceae. The record is from RNAcentral.